CAUGUUAUUCAAUCCUUCAGCAAGGUAUCAAUCCUUAAUUUAUUCCCAUAAUAUUUGAUAACUUCUUUAUAGCCAGAUAAAUCAGUGCACGGUAUGACCAGCUUGAGCUGCCUGACAGGAACUGAAAGCGACCUCAGGAAAUCACUGGCUAUUUUUCACAUCCUGAUCAAGUGAGCGUAGGUGUUUAUACCAGGGAGCUGUUAAAAUUUAACAGAUCAGCACACUAUUUCUGGCUACCCAUUGAGAGCAUUCGUGUUAUCGUGUUUAAUUG
Paramuricea clavata is the source of this 271-nucleotide non-coding RNA. The record is from the annotation of a GenBank genome assembly. NCBI's taxonomy places the organism in Eukaryota, Metazoa, Cnidaria, Anthozoa, Malacalcyonacea, Plexauridae.